Molecule: transfer RNA, 69 nt
Filed under: Diaphorina citri (Asian citrus psyllid)
Lineage: Eukaryota; Metazoa; Arthropoda; Insecta; Hemiptera; Psyllidae
Rfam family: tRNA
About the family: Transfer RNA (tRNA) molecules are approximately 80 nucleotides in length. Their secondary structure includes four short double-helical elements and three loops (D, anti-codon, and T loops).
Source: Rfam by way of RNAcentral
GCUCCCAUGGCGUAGUCACUGCGCUCGCCUUGCACGCGGGAGACCCGGGUUCGAUUCCCGGCGGGGUCA